CGCUUCCACGUGCGCUUCUUCUUCAAAGAACCUCUCUGGUCUAAACUCUUCAGGUUUCUUCCAGCUGUUGGGAUUGUUUGCUAGCCACCAAGCAUUGACAAGGAUUUUGCUUUCUGCUGGGAUAUCGUAGCCAGCGAGCUUGGCGUCGUGGAGGUUCAUGUGAGGCACGAGGAGAGGAAUCGCCAUUCUUAGACGAAGUGUCUCCUUGAUCACUGCUUGAAGGUAUGGAAGCUUGUGAAGCUCAGGCUCAGUCACUUGCACACCAGGUCCAAGAACCGUGUCGAUUUCAUUCCUUAGCUUACUCUGGAUUUCAGGAUGGUUCACUAGCUCCGCAAUUCCCCAUUCGAUUGACCACAAUGUUGUCUCAAUCGCUGUUUCAGCAGAAAUCAAGAAAUCAGCAUCACAAAACUGUACAAAUCCCCAUAGCCUCUUCAGGGGAGACCAAAAAACAAUCUAGAUGAGCCUAAUUUGCUAUUAUUGUUAACAAUUCCAAAUUCAUAGGAUUCACAUAAAACACUAAUGUCCAAUUCCUUAUGCAAGCAGAGACGUCUAAAGGAUUGAUUACGUAUCCUACAAGUAAGAAAUAGAAGUUACCAG
This 597-nucleotide long non-coding RNA is filed under the name Arabidopsis lyrata. RNAcentral describes it as "long non-coding RNA (ALYR_LNC002072)". Lineage: Eukaryota; Viridiplantae; Streptophyta; Magnoliopsida; Brassicales; Brassicaceae. The record is from RNAcentral.